RNAcentral lists this long non-coding RNA (305 nucleotides) under Monodelphis domestica (gray short-tailed opossum). RNAcentral's name for it is "lncRNA (ENSMODG00000041466.1)". Lineage: Eukaryota; Metazoa; Chordata; Mammalia; Didelphimorphia; Didelphidae. The record is from RNAcentral.
GACAGUUGGGAAGCUCUCUUAAACUGGGUGGCAGACUGAGAGGCUGUGUGCCAAAGGGUCUCCCUGAAGAAACCAAUUUAGGAGCUGCCAAGGACUUGGAUUAUCUUUUAAGAUUGAGCAACUGCCUUUCCCAUGGCUCUGAGGUCAAAUUUCUUUGUGCUCCUGCUCUCAACACUCUUCCUUGGGGAAAAAGAGUUUUGGUAUGUUUCACUACAUGGCAAGGGUACCCACUGAUUUUUGAGUUAUGUGGUCCCUGGACUAGGGAUCCUGGUGUGUGUAGAUGGUGAUGGAGAAAUAUAAGCCAG